This 27-nucleotide small RNA is filed under the name Bombyx mori (domestic silkworm). RNAcentral's name for it is "ovarian small RNA-34484". Lineage: Eukaryota; Metazoa; Arthropoda; Insecta; Lepidoptera; Bombycidae. The record is from RNAcentral.
UGGAAUCAUUAAUUUCUCGGUGCUCAU